CCUACGGGAGGCACCAGUAAGGAAUCUUCGGCAAUGGACGAAAGUCUGACCGAGUAACGCCGCGUGAGUGAAGAAGGUUUUCGGAUCGUAAAACUCUGUUGGUAGAGAAGAACGUUGGUGAGAGUGGAAAGCUCAUCAAGUGACGGUAACUACCCAGAAAGGGACGGCUAACUACGUGCCAGCAGCCGCGGUAAUACGUAGGUCCCGAGCGUUGUCCGGAUUUAUUGGGCGUAAAGCGAGCGCAGGUGGUUUAUUAAGUCUGGUGUAAAAGGCAGUGGCUCAACCAUUGUAUGCAUUGGAAACUGGUAGACUUGAGUGCAGGAGAGGAGAGUGGAAUUCCAUGUGUGGCGGUGAAAUGCGUAGAUAUAUGGAGGAACACCGGUGGCGAAAGCGGCUCUCUGGCGUGUAACUGACACUGAGGCUCGAAAGCGUGGGGAGCAAACAGGAUUAGAUACCCCGGUAGUC
Molecule: ribosomal RNA, 465 nt
Filed under: uncultured bacterium
Lineage: Bacteria
Description: bacterial SSU rRNA
Rfam family: Bacterial small subunit ribosomal RNA
Source: RNAcentral